This 825-nucleotide long non-coding RNA is filed under the name Hordeum vulgare. Its description in RNAcentral is "long non-coding RNA (HVUL_LNC010612)". Lineage: Eukaryota; Viridiplantae; Streptophyta; Magnoliopsida; Poales; Poaceae. The record is from RNAcentral.
CUCGGUUCGAGGAGCUCAACAUGGACCUCUUCCGCAAGUGCAUGGAGCCCGUCGAGAAGUGCCUCCGCGAUGCCAAGAUGGACAAGAGCACCGUGCACGAUGUUGUCCUCGUCGGAGGAUCCACCCGUAUCCCCCGUGUGCAGCAGCUCCUCCAGGAUUUCUUCAACGGCAAGGAGCUCUGCAAGAGCAUCAACCCUGACGAGGCCGUCGCGUACGGAGCCGCCGUUCAGGCUGCCAUCCUCACCGGCGAGGGCAACGAGAAGGUGCAGGACUUGCUCCUGCUCGACGUCACACCGCUCUCGCAGGGCCUGGAGACGGCCGGAGGUGUCAUGACCGUCCUGAUCCCAAGGAAUACGACAAUCCCCACCAAGAAGGAGCAGGUCUUCUCCACCUACUCUGACAACCAGCCCGGCGUGCUCAUCCAGGUGUAUGAGGGCGAGAGGGCGAGGACCAAGGACAACAACCUGCUCGGCAAGUUUGAGCUCUCCGGGAUCCCACCGGCUCCCAGGGGCGUCCCCCAGAUCACCGUGUGCUUCGACAUUGACGCCAACGGUAUCCUGAACGUCUCGGCGGAGGACAAGACCACCGGGCAGAAGAACAAGAUCACAAUUACCAACGACAAGGGUCGGCUGAGCAAGGAGGACAUCGAGAAGAUGGUGCAGGAGGCCGAGAAGUACAAGGCUGAGGACGAGGAGCACAAGAAGAAGGUGGACUCCAAGAACGCCCUGGAGAACUACGCUUACAACAUGCGUAACACCAUCAAGGACGACAAGAUCGCCUCCAAGCUCCCGGAGGCUGACAAGAAGAAGAUCGAGGACGCUAUUG